UGUGCAGUCUAUUGCACUGACCUGUUAUGACCUCUUAUUCUGAAAACUGAUUAGUUGAAAGGUAUUCAUGUUGUCCAAUGAAAUUGGGUCUUUUAAACAUUUUUGGGUUUAUUGUUUCAUGUCCGUUUUAUUGAAUUUCUAAAGUAUUGGUUGUACAUGUAUGCUCCUUACACAUUAUAAUUAAUACAGUUGUUACUUUCAUGUGUUUUUAUUUCUAAGAAUUUGUUAGAACUGACUCAGUAUGUAUUAGGUAAUAAAACAGUUAUUAAAUGUGUAACAGUGCAAUAGAUCAAAAUAUAUUUCCCUUGG
RNAcentral lists this long non-coding RNA (309 nucleotides) under Mytilus galloprovincialis (Mediterranean mussel). The record is from RNAcentral. Lineage: Eukaryota; Metazoa; Mollusca; Bivalvia; Mytilida; Mytilidae.